UGGGGAAUUUUGGACGAAUUGGGCGAAAGCCUGAAUCCAGCAAUGCCGCGUGUGUGAAGAAGGCCUUCGGGUUGUAAAGCACUUUUGUCCGGAAAGAAAUCCUUGGCUCUAAUACAGUCGGGGGAUGACGGUACCGGAAGAAUAAGCACCGGCUAACUACGUGCCAGCAGCCGCGGUAAUACGUAGGGUGCAAGCGUUAAUCGGAAUUACUGGGCGUAAAGCGUGCGCAGGCGGUUUGCUAAGACCGAUGUGAAAUCCCCGGGCUCAACCUGGGAACUGCAUUGGUGACUGGCAGGCUAGAGUAUGGCAGAGGGGGGUGAGAAUUCCACGUGUAGCAGUGAAAUGCGUAGAGAUGUGGAGGAAUACCGAUGGCGAAGGCAGCCCCCUGGCAAGUACUGACGCUCAUGCACGAAAGCGU
This 418-nucleotide ribosomal RNA is filed under the name uncultured bacterium. RNAcentral describes it as "partial 16S ribosomal RNA". It matches the Rfam family "Bacterial small subunit ribosomal RNA", at positions 355 to 762 of the family's 1533-position model. The record is from RNAcentral.